GUAGGUGGCAUGCGUUGUCCGGAAUUAUUGGGCGUAAAGCGCGCGCAGGUGGUUCUUUAAGUCUGAUGUGAAAGCCCCCGGCUCAACCGGGGAGGGUCAUUGGAAACUGGGGAACUUGAGUGCAGGAGAGGAAAGUGGAAUUCCACGUGUAGCGGUGAAAUGCGUAGAUAUGUGGAGGAACACCAGUGGCGAAGGCGACUUUCUGGCCUGUAACUGACACUGAGGCGCGAAAGCGUGGGGAGCAAACAGGGAUUAGAUACCCUGGUAGUCCACGCCGUAAACGAUGAGUGCUAAGUGUUGGGGGGGUUUCCCGUCCCCUCAGUGCUGCAGCUAACGCAUUAAGCACUCCGCCUGGGGAGUACGGUCGCAAGACUG
RNAcentral lists this ribosomal RNA (375 nucleotides) under uncultured organism. Its description in RNAcentral is "partial 16S ribosomal RNA". It matches the Rfam family "Bacterial small subunit ribosomal RNA", at positions 527 to 896 of the family's 1533-position model. The record is from RNAcentral.